Non-coding RNA from Hydra vulgaris (swiftwater hydra), 3356 nucleotides. NCBI's taxonomy places the organism in Eukaryota, Metazoa, Cnidaria, Hydrozoa, Anthoathecata, Hydridae. The record is from RefSeq and is a predicted model, not a curated record.
GCCAGCAAUAGCAAACGGGCCCCGUACGGUUUAUAUCCGGGUUUACGGGAUACGGGAUCUAAAUGGGCGCGAGUACUGGUUUCCUGAUGGGUCCCGUAUGGCUAAAAAAUCACGCUAAAACUCUCGUAGAAAUCAUAUCUGGGUUACGGAAUAUGGGAAUGUGAUGGGUUUCCCAUUUGGGGCCCAAUUGGUUCUGUUACAAGAAAAUAUUUUAUAAAACCGAAUCUUAAAUUUCGCCAUUUACAAUAACAAAAUUAAUUGAGUUUCAAAGAAGUUCAUAAAAUGGAACUUGUAUACAUUAUUUUUACAUUAUAAUUAAAGAGAAAUCGGUUUUUCGUUGGAUUUUGUUUCUACAUUAAAACUGGAUUAUGUUAGCGUUUAAGUUUAUAUAAAAGAAGUUUUUAUUUCUUUAAAAAACGAACUAAAUUUUACUAUGCAUAAAGUUAGUUAUUUUAAAGAAUUGAAUUAAAUAUCGUUCACCUUUACAAAAAUUAGUUUCACGAUUAAUUUUCAUGUCACAAUAUUAUAAUGUUGACAUCUUCAUUUUUACUGUUUUACUUCCUUGACAAAGAAGUAAACAAGGAACUUGUGGCAUAAAUUCUUGGCAACAUUACAAAAUUACAACCCGUAUAAAUAUAUUUUUUUUCAAUGCAAAUUAAAAGAUAACUUUUCGCACAGCUACUCGUCAAACAAAUAAAAUGAUGUAUGCAAUUGUUGCCUUUGAUGAGGAAAAUAACACUGACUAUCUACCUCUAAUUUGGCUUGUUAAUGCGAUGAGCGAAAAUGUUCUGUCUAUAAUAUCUUCAAGGAAAUCAACAGAUUUUUAUUGGCCACGCUGGACAAAUAUGAAAAAAAUUCACGCAGCAAAAUCAAUCUGUCAAGAACCAGAAGUUGGUUGGCUGCGAUUUUCUGGAAGAAUUUUGUCCACUGCUGACACAGAAUCUGAAGCAAAAGAAAAAUGUAAAUAUGCGGAAGAUACAUCAAAUGUUGAUGAACUAUAUCUAAAAAAUCGAAAAAGCCAGUCUUGUGAAGAAGAUUCUCAAGUAAAGUUAUUUGAAAAAAAAAAGGAAAUUGAAUCUAUUUUUUUUAAAGAAGAACUUAGUAAAUCAAUAAAGAAAAAGAAAACAGAGUCAACAAAAGGACAUAUGAAGUUCAAUAAAAGUUUUGAAGACCUUAAUAAAUCCCCAGAACAAGCUUUUAUCAAGCCAGAUGUUCCUUUAAUUCCUCGAUGUUCUAACACUUCAGAUGAUGUUGAUUUCAAUAAAAAUUCUUUAACAGAUUUUUCAUUCAAUUUGUCUGAAACUUAUCAAAGAAUGCCUAAUUCUUCAACAAUAGUACCUUUUGCUGCAGCAGAAAAUUCAGGAGUAUGCAAAACUAUUUUGAGAGGGUUAGAACAAAUUAAAGAAACACAAAAAUUUCACUCUAAGAUGAUUCAGAAUUUAUUGCAACGGUUUAACAUAGAAAGAGACAUAGCAUCAGUGGAGCUACCAGAAGGUUUAACAUUUCCUGUAACAACAAUGGAAGAACUGGAUAAGGCUCUUGAAAUAUUAGCUAAUGUUACUACUCAAAGGAUUUUGGUUCAUAUUCUUUUUGAAAAUGGUGGGCAAGAUAUUUCAGAAUUUGUUAAUCGAAAUAUGACUUAUCUUAUUGGAAAUGUAUUGGCCAGACAGCUAAAUUUGACCGGCCAAAAAAAUAAGCGUGGAUUUAUUAAAACCAUUUUGUACAACAUUCUUUAUAGUAUGCUAGAAUUUAGUAUUUUUGAAUUAACAUAUUUUAUUUUACAUUUGAAUUUACAUAUUUUAUUUUAAUUCAAAUAAAAAUUUGAAAAUAUUUUUUUACAAUAGCUUCCAUAAAAAUAAAUACAUCUACAAAAGAGUGUACAAAAAAACAGCUUGAGGAGGCUCUUUCAAAAUGGUUUGAAAAUGCUCGUGACAGAGAAUGACUUCUGAAAGAUCUAAACGUAGAAAAAUAGCUGAAGUGGUAUCAAAACUUUUUCAAGAAUCUUCAACUUUAAAUAUACAGAAUCAGGAUGUUUAUCCAUAUAGUAGCAAUAUGUUUUUUGAUUCUUCAUAUUUACAUGGAAUAAGAGAACAAGUUGACAGUAAUUUGGAACCUAACGAAUUUUUAACUAAUUCUAAUUAUUCUGAUAAUAGUUUAGCUGUUAUGGAGACUGAAAUUAGUGAAAUAGAAAGUAACAAAAACACUAUUGAAUUACUUACAGAUGAUAGUAAUGAAUGGUCUCCUGAGUCAUUUAUUUCUGAUGAUUAUAAGAGUGAUGAAAGUAAUGACAGCGAAAAAUUGCCUCAUAAACUUGCUAAUUGGGCAUUAAGCUUCAAUAUAACACAUGCUGCUUUGAACAGUUUGUUACCUUUAUAAAGAGAAUAUGGGUUAAGUUUGCCUAAAGAUUCAAGAACACUUCUUCACACCCCCCAAAAUAUAGAUACAAAAAUUGUCGCGGGCGGAGAGUAUUACUAUUUCAGCAUGCAGUAUUGGCUUUUAAUAAUGUUUAAAAACAAUUCAAUAGAAUCAAACAACAACCAACUUACCAUUCACAUUAACAUUGAUGGUAUACCUAUAUUCACCAGUUCCAGUACUUCUCUUUGGCCAAUUUUAGGUACUCUUAUUGAAGCUGGAGCAAUAGUAUUUCCAAUAGCAAUUUAUUGUGGUGACAAAAAACCAAAUUCUAUUCAUGAAUAUCUAGAAGAUUUUUUGGUUGAGAUUAAAGCUCUUACUGAAAAUGGUUUUACCCAUGAAAAUGUAAAGUAUGAUGUAAAGCUUGCUGCAAUUAUAUGUGAUGCACCAGCAAGAGCAUUUGUGAAAUGUAUAAAGGGUCACAAUGGUUAUAAUUGUUGUGAGCGUUGUGUUCAAAAAGGAGAGUGGUGUGGCAAAAUAAUCCUUCCGCAUACAUCAGCAACUUUAAGGACUGAUUCAGAUUUUCGUUAUCAAAAUAGUUUGGAACAUCAUAUUGGUGUGUCUCCUUUAAUUGAGUUAGGUUUUGACAUGGUAUCAAAAUUUCCUUUAGAUUAUAUGCACCUAGUAUGUCUAGGGGUUGUGCGAAGAAUCAUCAACUUAUGGUUAAAUGGUCCCAGAUCAUGUUCACAUUGGCUGUUGGCAAUAUUUGUCUAGUGGUGUGAGUUGACUACAGAACGUCUCCAAUUUUAGUUAAUGACUCCAAUUAAAUAAACUCCUUUAAUGGCAGGUCUUAUUGAAAAAGAUAUUGUAUGAAGAAAAAAGUGCUUAAAGAAGUGGUUUUCACAAAGAUUUUAAUUCAUGAUUACGAUACGAUUCACGAUUAAAGAAUAAAAAUGUAAUUUUAAUGUGCUUUUUGUUUGAAAUAAAUAAGCAUAUAAUAUGAA